CCCUUAGAUGUUCUGGGUCGCACGCGCGCUACACUGUUGCAUUCAACGAGCCUAUCCUUGACCGACAGGUCCGGGUAAUCUUUGAAUCUGCAUCGUGACGGGGAUAGAUUAUUGCAAUUAUUAAUCUUCAACGAGGAAUGCCUAGUAGGCGCAAGUCAUCAGCUUGCGUCGAUUACGUCCCUGCCCUUUGUACACACCGCCCGUCGCUCCUACCGAUUGGGUGUGCUGGUGAAAUGUUCGGAUCGGCCGUUUGUCGCGGUUUCCGCGUCAUGUGGCUGAGAAGUUCAUUAAACCCUCCCACCUAGAGGAAGGAGAAGUCGUAACA
RNAcentral lists this ribosomal RNA (325 nucleotides) under uncultured eukaryote. Its description in RNAcentral is "partial 18S ribosomal RNA". It matches the Rfam family "Eukaryotic small subunit ribosomal RNA", at positions 1470 to 1796 of the family's 1831-position model. The record is from RNAcentral.